Molecule: long non-coding RNA, 1540 nt
Organism: Podarcis raffonei (Aeolian wall lizard)
Lineage: Eukaryota; Metazoa; Chordata; Lepidosauria; Squamata; Lacertidae
Exons: 8
Source: RefSeq, a predicted model, not a curated record
CGAAAGGGAGGGGCGUCGCUUAAGGCGGAGGCUUAUUAAUAGGUUGCAGAGCCCGGUUCCCUCCAAAAUGUCGCUGGGAGGACAGUUCCCCUCAGCUUGCCAAAUGGUCCAGGAGGAGGGGAAUUGUUGGAGAAACCUCUUCUUAAGUGCCUCGAAGAGAGAGUGGUCCGGCUUUUUCGUCGCGCGCGAAGUCAACAUGACAUCUGGAUUAAUUUAGGGAAGUAUUAUUUUCCUCAGGAAAUAUUUGGAACAAUGUCAUUCACACUUUAAACAGAUGCUUAGGAAAACUUGGAGCUCAAACCUGCAUUUUCUUAACCUUGACAACACUUGUUGAGCUUUCAUAUGCUCUAAUACACAGGGAGAUUGACAGCUCUCAAUGAAUAACAAUGGAGACGUUCAUUCUGUCCCUGCUCCUAUACUUCAUUAUCAUUGUGAGAUUUCUGCCAAAAUUCUUCAGAUUCACAAGAGGACCAUCAAUAUGUUCAGAAAGUUUGAGACAAGAGAAAAAUUCACAUUGAAGGUCAUCCCUGAUAACUUGGAAUUGUGUACAUUUCAUAGCAAAAGGGAAAAAAGACGCAAUUUGUCCCCUUCCAAGAAUCUGGUCAACCCUGCAAGGUAAUUAAAUAUACAAGUGUGCAAGAUCACUUCAACAGGUAAGGAACCAGAGGCAUAGAAGCUGAAUGUGGCCCUGCAGGUCCCCCUGUCUGGCUCUCAGGACUCUUCUCAGGGCACAUCCCAUUGCUAGACCAUACCUGCUCUCCCCAAGCCACACCUCAUCUGCCCUGCUUCAUGUCUCCCUUUGAGUGUUUUUGCCUGCCUGGAAUGUGUCCUUGAACUGAGGUAAUGCCUCUGAAUUUUGUGUGGCUGGAAUGUAUCCUACAAAGGUCUUCAGGAGUGAUUACUUCUUGAAAACACUACAUACAGUGUGUUAUCCAAGCACUGAACAUGAGACAUGUCAAGCACAAACAGCAUCUAUUGACAUCAACAGGAAUUGUUGUUAUGAAUUCAGCACUGAAAUAGGUUGAGAAUAUUCAUAAUUAUACUAAGAAGCUCAAGAGGAUAGAACUGUGUGUUCCCUAACUUCCUGCAAGAUGAGUAAAAUUUCUUCUGGAUGCUUUUUGACAAUCCAAAAAACAUUACAAGGAUAAUCUCAUUACAUUUGCCAAAAAAGAAGCCCUGACUGGAUCUGCAUGAAAAUCACAGUGAUAUAUUAACUACUAGAUCUUCACGGCAGAUCCCAUAACCACACAAUGAUGUGUGUUUUUGGACGAGGCAGAUAUAUUUUCCACUGGGGAUAUCUGUAUUGAUGGCAGGAAGCAGGUUCUUUAGCCACUUCAGAUCCUGCCCACAUCAACCAUGUGGAUAGAUGGGGAACUAGGGUGCACUGAAUCUUGUCAUUUAUGGAUAGUGGGGGCUGAAUGUCUCAUUCCCAAUAAGCCUCACUAACAUGCCUCACAUAAAAAGCUGCCUACUGCUUACGGAACGAUAUAUGGGUACAAUAUUACCAAAAUAAAUUCUGGGACUUAUCAGAUAGAUUUUA